CCUACGGGAGGCAGCAGUGGGGAAUAUUGCGCAAUGGGCGAAAGCCUGACGCAGCGACGCCGCGUGAGGGAUGAAGGUCUUCGGAUCGUAAACCUCUGUCAGCAGGGAAGAACGGUCACUGUGCUAAUCAGCAGUGAAUUGACGGUACCUGCAAGGGAAGCACCGGCUAACUCCGUGCCCGCAGCCGCGGUAAUACGGAGGGUGCGAGCGUUAAUCGGAAUUACUGGGCGUAAAGCGCGCGUAGGCGGUAUGUCAAGUCAAGGGUGAAAUCCCCGCGCUCAACGUGGGAACUGCCUUUGAAACUGGCAAACUGGAGUGUGUUAGAGGAUAGUGGAAUUCCAGGUGUAGGAGUGAAAUCCGUAGAUAUCUGGAGGAACACCAGUGGCGAAGGCGACUAUCUGGCACAUAACUGACGCUGAGGAGCGAAAGCGUGGGUAGCAAACAGGAUUAGAUACCCGGGUAGUC
RNAcentral lists this ribosomal RNA (465 nucleotides) under uncultured bacterium. RNAcentral describes it as "partial 16S ribosomal RNA". It matches the Rfam family "Bacterial small subunit ribosomal RNA", at positions 338 to 795 of the family's 1533-position model. The record is from RNAcentral.